RNAcentral lists this ribosomal RNA (478 nucleotides) under uncultured bacterium. RNAcentral describes it as "partial 16S ribosomal RNA". It matches the Rfam family "Bacterial small subunit ribosomal RNA", at positions 28 to 523 of the family's 1533-position model. The record is from RNAcentral.
GACGAACGCUGGCGGCGUGCUUAACACAUGCAAGUCGAACGGUAAGGCCCUUCGGGGUACACGAGUGGCGAACGGGUGAGUAACACGUGGGUGAUCUGCCCUGCACUUCGGGAUAAGCCUGGGAAACUGGGUCUAAUACCGGAUAGGACCACUGCCUGCAUGGGUGGUGGUGGAAAGCUUUUGCGGUGUGGGAUGGGCCCGCGGCCUAUCAGCUUGUUGGUGGGGUGAUGGCCUACCAAGGCGACGACGGGUAGCCGGCCUGAGAGGGUGACCGGCCACACUGGGACUGCGUUACGGCCCAGACUCAUCUGGGAGGCAGCAGUGGGGAAUAUUGCACAAUGGGCGCAAGCCUGCUGCAGCGACGCCGCGUGAGGGAUGGCGGCCUUCGGGUUGUAAACCUCUUUCAGCACCGACGAAGCGCAAGUGACGGUAGGUGCAGAAGAAGGACCGGCCAACUACGUGCCAGCAGCCGCGGUAA